Molecule: small RNA, 125 nt
Filed under: Marmota monax (woodchuck)
Lineage: Eukaryota; Metazoa; Chordata; Mammalia; Rodentia; Sciuridae
Source: RNAcentral
GUUGGGUGCGGUGGCGCAUACCUGAAAUCCCAGUGGCUUGGGAGGCUGAGACAGGAGGAUCAUGAGUUCAAAGCCAGCCUCAGCAAAGGAGAGGUGCUAAGCAACUCAGUGAUACCUUGUCUCUA